UACGUAGGGUGCGAGCGUUGUCCGGAAUUAUUGGGCGUAAAGAGCUCGUAGGCGGUCUGUCGCGUCGGCUGUGAAAACCCGGAGCUCAACUCCGGGCCUGCAGUCGAUACGGGCAAACUGGAGUGUUGCAGGGGAGACUGGAAUUCCUGGUGUAGCGGUGAAAUGCGCAGAUAUCAGGAGGAACACCAAUGGCGAAGGCAGCUCGCUGGGACGGUACUGACGCUGAGACGCGAAAGCGUGGGGAGCAAACAGG
This 253-nucleotide ribosomal RNA is filed under the name uncultured bacterium. Its description in RNAcentral is "partial 16S ribosomal RNA". It matches the Rfam family "Bacterial small subunit ribosomal RNA", at positions 524 to 776 of the family's 1533-position model. The record is from RNAcentral.